This 253-nucleotide ribosomal RNA is filed under the name uncultured bacterium. Its description in RNAcentral is "partial 16S ribosomal RNA". It matches the Rfam family "Bacterial small subunit ribosomal RNA", at positions 524 to 776 of the family's 1533-position model. The record is from RNAcentral.
UACGGGGGGUGCGAGCGUUAAUCGGAAUAACUGGGCGUAAAGGGCACGCAGGCGGUCUGUUAAGUGAGAUGUGAAAUCCCCGGGCUCAACCUGGGAAUUGCAUUUGAUACUGGGAGUCUAGAGUACUGUAGAGGGGGGUAGAAUUCCACGUGUAGCGGUGAAAUGCGUAGAGAUGUGGAGGAAUACCGAAGGCGAAGGCAGCCCCUUGGGAAAGUACUGACGCUCAUGUGCGAAAGCGUGGGGAGCAAACAGG